AUGCAGAUUCAUCCUGUUACAAGGGUAUAACCCACUGGGUAAAGAAGAGAAUCAAGAAGGAAGAAUUUGUGUGCUCUCUCUGUGAGGAAUGGAAGCUAGGUUAUGAGACAAAUCACCGGUGCUUGGCAAAAGAUAAGAUGAUUCCCAGCAAGUGAUCGACAACCUUCUUUGACCGAUCAUUUUCUUUAUUAUCAUCAUGCAACUGAAAGACUGAAAUUGCAGUGGCAUGCAUACUGUCAUUUUGUUAGUAGUGCAAAAGGCAAGAAACAAAUGCACCCAGAGAAUGUUUGACAAUGGUUGGUGCUCCUUGUUUUUUUCUCUUGUUGAUUGGUGCUCUUUUCAAAUCCACUCCAAAAUGUUUAUUAAUUUUUGGGAUGUUAGUUAAUGUGUAGCUCCUGCCAUUGUUCUCUUUAUGUUUGAUGAAGAAUGUGGUUGUCCUUUGGCUGGCAACAUUUCACUUUAGAUUCAAAAGACAGAUUAUGUAUAUUUGAGUUUUGGCUAAAUUUCAGACAAGAGUAGUAUGAUGGUAAUUUUAGUUUCUUUA
Molecule: long non-coding RNA, 544 nt
Organism: Hordeum vulgare subsp. vulgare (domesticated barley)
Lineage: Eukaryota; Viridiplantae; Streptophyta; Magnoliopsida; Poales; Poaceae
Exons: 2
Source: RefSeq, a predicted model, not a curated record